Molecule: ribosomal RNA, 569 nt
Filed under: uncultured Gammaproteobacteria bacterium
Lineage: Bacteria; Pseudomonadati; Pseudomonadota; Gammaproteobacteria
Description: bacterial SSU rRNA
Rfam family: Bacterial small subunit ribosomal RNA
Source: RNAcentral
UCGAUUUGGAGUUUGUUGCCCUGAGUGAUGGGCUCCGAAGCUAACGCGAUAAAUCGACCGCCUGGGGAGUACGGCCGCAAGGUUAAAACUCAAAUGAAUUGACGGGGGCCCGCACAAGCGGUGGAGCAUGUGGUUUAAUUCGAUGCAACGCGAAGAACCUUACCUGGUCUUGACAUCCACAGAAUCUUUCAGAGAUGAGGGAGUGCCUUCGGGAACUGUGAGACAGGUGCUGCAUGGCUGUCGUCAGCCCGUGUUGUGAAAUGUUGGGUUAAGUCCCGCAACGAGCGCAACCCUUAUCCUUUGUUGCCAGCGAUUAGGUCGGGAACUCAAAGGAGACUGCCGUUGAUAAAACGGAGGAAGGUGGGGACGACGUCAAGUCAUCAUGGCCCUUACGACCAGGGCUACACACGUGCUACAAUGGCGUAUACAAAGGGAAGCGAAGGUGCGAGCUGGAGCGGACCUCCUAAAGUACGUCUAAGUCCGGAUUGGAGUCUGCAACUCGACUCCAUGAAGUCGGAAUCGCUAGUAAUCGUGAAUCAGAAUGUCACGGUGAAUACGUUCCCGGGCCU